AUAAAAAAUAAUAAUUUGUGAGUGUAUGAGAGAAUGUGUCUGUGUGUGUGUGUGUGUGUGUGUGUGUGUGUCAGUAUCAGUCUGUAUGUGUGUCAGUGAAUGUCUGUCUGUCAAUGAGUGUGUUUGUGUCUGUCAGUGAGAGUGUGUGUCAAUGAAUGUGUGUCUUUCUGUCUGUGAGCGUGUGUAUGUGAGUGAGCGUAUGUGUAUCAGUGAAGGUGUGUGUCUGUCAGUCAAAGUGUGUGUUGGUCUUAAACAGGAAGAGGUGUGUCCUCCUUGGGGAAAACUUAGAUUAGAAGUGUGCCUGAG
Non-coding RNA from Pelobates cultripes (western spadefoot toad), 306 nucleotides. The record is from the annotation of a GenBank genome assembly. NCBI's taxonomy places the organism in Eukaryota, Metazoa, Chordata, Amphibia, Anura, Pelobatidae.